This 806-nucleotide ribosomal RNA is filed under the name Ateleute sp. 7 BFS-2018. RNAcentral describes it as "partial 28S large subunit ribosomal RNA". It matches the Rfam family "Eukaryotic large subunit ribosomal RNA", at positions 393 to 941 of the family's 3401-position model. Lineage: Eukaryota; Metazoa; Arthropoda; Insecta; Hymenoptera; Ichneumonidae. The record is from RNAcentral.
GAGUACGUGAAACCGUUCAGGGGUAAACCUGAGAAACCCGAAAGAUCGAAUGGGGAGAUUCAUCGUCAGCGAUUUUGGUACGUGUGCGGUUCGGGAUGCCGGUGACUUCGGUCACUCGACACUCGUCUGCAUGUUUAUUAUUGCCUGAAUCGUCGGCGUGCACUUCUCCCCUAGUAGGACGUCGCGACCCGUUGGGUGUCGGUCUACGGCUCGGAUGGUAGCCUGUCUCGCGUGCGUCUCACGGCGUUUCGCGGGUCAGACCUUCGAUCGCCCGACCGGCUGCUCGGCGGUACUCGCACGGUAUCUGGCCGCAAAUAUUUGAACUGCGUCCGGCCCGUCGCAAGCGAGGCAAGUGUUCCCGGCUGUACGGAUUUAAUGCCGUCGCCGGGCCUUGACAGCUGUUGGUUGACGGUGUCCUGGGACUGGCCAACAAAAUUAUGAUACCGGUCGGCGACGCUACUGCUUUGGGUACUUUCAGGACCCGUCUUGAAACACGGACCAAGGAGUCUAACAUGUGCGCGAGUCAUUGGGAACUAUUAAACCUAAAGGCGCAAUGAAAGUGAAGGUCGGCCUUGCGCCGACCGAGGGAGGAUGGGCCGCGUCACGAUGCGGUCUCGCACUCCCGGGGCGUCUCGUUCUCAUUGCGAGAAGAGGCGCACCCAGAGCGUACACGUUGGGACCCGAAAGAUGGUGAACUAUGCCUGGUCAGGACGAAGUCAGGGGAAACCCUGAUGGAGGUCCGUAGCGAUUCUGACGUGCAAAUCGAUCGUCGGAACUGGGUAUAGGGGCGAAAGACUAAUCGAACC